AGCUCCAAUAGCGUAUAUUAAAGUUGUUGCCGUUAAAAAGCUCGUAGUUGAACUUUCAUGGGCUCACGCGGUCUGCCUCACGGCAAGUACUGUGUGGGUCCGUGCUCCUGGGUGGUGAGCCGUCAUGUCGUUUACUCGGUGUGGCGGGGAACCACCUCUGUUACCUUGAGAAAAUUAGAGUGUUCAAAGCAGGCCUAUGCCCGAAUACAUUAGCAUGGAAUAACGAAAUAGGACGUGCGGUUCUAUUU
Molecule: ribosomal RNA, 248 nt
Filed under: uncultured Agaricomycetes
Lineage: Eukaryota; Fungi; Basidiomycota; Agaricomycetes
Description: partial small subunit ribosomal RNA
Rfam family: Eukaryotic small subunit ribosomal RNA
Source: RNAcentral